RNAcentral lists this ribosomal RNA (253 nucleotides) under uncultured bacterium. Its description in RNAcentral is "partial 16S ribosomal RNA". It matches the Rfam family "Bacterial small subunit ribosomal RNA", at positions 524 to 776 of the family's 1533-position model. The record is from RNAcentral.
UACAGAGGGGGCAAGCGUUGUUCGGAAUUACUGGGCGUAAAGGGCGCGUAGGCGGCCUGCUAAGUCGAACGUGAAAUCCCUGGGCUCAACCCAGGAACUGCGUCCGAUACUGGUUGGCUUGAAUCCGGGAGAGGGAUGUGGAAUUCCAGGUGUAGCGGUGAAAUGCGUAGAUAUCAGGAAGAACACCCGUGGCGAAGGCGGCUCUCUGGGACGGUACUGACGCUGAGACGCGAAAGCGUGGGGAGCGAACAGG